Molecule: long non-coding RNA, 1633 nt
Filed under: Brassica rapa (field mustard)
Lineage: Eukaryota; Viridiplantae; Streptophyta; Magnoliopsida; Brassicales; Brassicaceae
Description: long non-coding RNA (BRAP_LNC007204)
Source: RNAcentral
UCAAACAAGAAGUCACUAGUUUUGCCUGUCUCUCUAAUGAAUUUCGCUAGUGGCAAUCACUUGAAGAUGCAAUCCACCACUCGCAGCGGUGAGGUUAGGUUGGCCAAGGCAUCGAUCGUGGUUAAUAAUCAUGUAUUCUUUCUCACCUAUGAUUUCGAGAGGAAUAAGAUAACUUCAAGGGUUAAGUUUAACCCGUUAUCAGCCAGUAUUGGGACUUGCUUGAGGUCGAAUUUUUGGGAUGAUACUGAGAGCAUUAUGUAUUUGGAAACCUGAAAAGUUAAUAAAUAUGACGUUUGGCCAUCAUUUGUUUUUUAUAUUAUUUUCAAAAUAGAGUUUGGUGUAAACAUUCCCUCUGAGGCUCCAAAAUGAUGAUUCAAGUAUGCGCAUAUGUAGUAGCUGGAUAGGUCAUGAGUUGCUUAUGGCACAAAACUAAGAAGGUUUUUCAGAUAAACUCAUUAGUUUUCAUUUCGCAUUUAGUUUAUGGAGGUGGUGAUGUUUACAGUUUCCAAGUCAACAAACAUGAAAUUUACAUGCUGGCCACAGGGCAGGUGACAACCAAAGUGCUUUGAUCCGGAUCUUGUAGAUGCUGCUGCUUUUGCUAUUGUUUCACUUUGUUUUACAGAAUUUUUUUCCUAAUUUUCCUUUGCCACUACGUUUUCUGGAUACCUUGAUCAGUUGAAGGGUCCCCUUAAAAACAUCAAACAACAAACUAGUAAAAAAUCUUGUGCUUGCGGGGAAGAGCUUCUCAAUGGAAAACAUCACUAUGUCUGGACAUAAUGAUAAUUAGUCAGAAAUGGGCGAAUUUUGACAGAAUCAGCAUUUUUUUGUUUCAAAGAGAAGAUAACGCCCACAUAUUUUAAAGUAAAGUUAUUUGUAAAGUAAUGUCAAGUGCAUUGUGGAGUUUCAUCCAAGAGCUGAAAGCUAUUAAAAUAUAUGCGAAAGAGGGACAUAACAGAUUUUAUUUGUUAGCCUAUAAGUCUUUCUUAUAGAAAGCAUAGCUAUUCUUUCAUUUUCAGUUUCAUAUCUGUAUAUAAAUGGUUGUAUUAAAUUGUGUUUGUACCUGGAAAAGUUCUUUUGAUAUUAAAAUAUUCUGAUUUGGUUGAAAUAGAUACUCUACAUAUAAAUAAACAAAUUAAUUCUGAAACAAAUAAGAAUGUUAUCUAAUAUUAUUAAAUCAGAAUUCCGAAUCCGUGUCAAGAUUAUGCCUUUGAUUUUAUUAACUAUUUACAAUUGCAUGCCAUUAAAACCUAGUUUUAAUACAAACUAGAUCUCGAUCACCGCAACCGCACGGGUUUUUGUUUUUAUUUAUUUUUAUAUAAUUUUUUUUUCAAUUCUAAAUUGCUAUAUAUUAUAAUAUCUGGUCAAACAAGAAGUCACUAGUUUUGCCUCUCUCUCUAAUGAAUUUCGCUAGUGACAAUCACUUGAAGAUGCAAUCCACCACUCGCAGCGGUGAGGUUAGGUUGGCGAAGGCAUCGAUCGUGGUUAAUAAACAUGUAUUCUUUCUCACCUAUGAUUUCGAGAGGAAUAAGAUAACUUCAAGGGUUAAGUUUAACCCGUUAUCAGCUAGUAUAGGGACUUGCUUGAGGUCGAAUUUUUGGGAUGAUACUGAGAGCAUUAUGUAUUUGGAAACCUG